RNAcentral lists this long non-coding RNA (634 nucleotides) under Sus scrofa (pig). Its description in RNAcentral is "lncRNA (ENSSSCG00065018025.1)". The record is from RNAcentral. Lineage: Eukaryota; Metazoa; Chordata; Mammalia; Artiodactyla; Suidae.
AUGAGGGCCGCCGGCAGGCUGGAAACUAGCUACUGCGGUCGCAGUUGCUCUCUGAAGCCGCAAGGCAGCCAUAUUUUUAUGAGUCCAGCCAGGAAUCCAGGUACUAAAUGCACAAAGCUGGAAACCAGAAAUUCAAGCUGUGAUUUCUUCCUCUUUGUUCUGCUGAUCUUGGAGCACUACCCUACUCAAGGCUACUUGGGAGCCACUUGGUGCUCUAGCUGCUCUGUCUUUACAAGUCAGAAGAGAGAAACAAUAUUGAGAAUGUUUCCAGUUCUUCAGAUAUUGGACUUCUGGGAGUUCCUGUCGUGGCUCAGCAGAAACAAAUCUGAGUAGCAUCCAUGAGGACGCAGAUCCCUGAGCAAUCAUCUAAGAAGUCUGAUCACCUGAAUAGACCACAUGGAGAGACUGUGGGAGCACAUGAAGAGAGGUGGGCAGGGGGAACCCAGCUGCAUCCAACAAUCCAGAAAUCCCUAACAAGAUGCUAGACAUGAAGGAAACCAUCUUGGAUCCACCAGAUCAACCUAGCCACCAGCUGGAUACCACUGAGAGAUGCCAGUGGAGCAGAAUUGUCCAAUAAGCCUUGCCCAAAUUUCUCACCCACACAAUUAUGAGUAUAAUAAAAUGAUUAUUGUUU